CGUGGGGGUGCUACCAUGCAAGUCGAACGGAGAAUCAGCAAUGAUUCUUAGUGGCGAACGGGUGAGUAACGCGUAGACAACCUGCCUUCUAGAUGGGGACAACACUGCGAAAGUGGUGCUAAUACCGAAUGUUGCAUUAAGCCUGCAUGGGCUUGAUACUAAAGGUGGCCUCUAUUUAUAAGCUAUCACUAGAAGAUGGGUCUGCGUCUGAUUAGCUAGUUGGUGAGGUAAUGGCUCACCAAGGCGAUGAUCAGUAGCCGGUCUGAGAGGAUGAACGGCCACACUGGGACUGAGACACGGCCCAGACUCCUACGGGAGGCAGCAGUGGGGAAUCUUCCGCAAUGGACGAAAGUCUGACGGAGCAACGCCGCGUGAGUGAAGAAGGUUUUCGGAUCGUAAAGCUCUGUCUUUGAGGACGAAUGUGUCUAAUGUGAAUAAUGUUAGAUAAUGACGGUACUCGAGGAGGAAGCCACGGCUAACUACGUGCCAGCAGCCGCGGUAAUACGUAGGUGGCAAGCGUUGUCCGGAAUUAUUGGGCGUAAAGCGCGCGCAGGCGGGAUAUUAAGUCUGUUUUAAAAGUUCGGGGCUCAACCCCGUGAUGGAAUGGAAACUAAUAUUCUUGAGUGCAGGAGAGGAAAGUGGAAUUCCCAGUGUAGCGGUGAAAUGCGUAGAUAUUGGGAGGAACACCAGUGGCGAAGGCGACUUUCUGGACUGUGUCUGACGCUGAGGCGCGAAAGCCAGGGGAGUGAACGGGAUUAGAUACCCCGGUAAUCCCGGCCGUAAACGAUGGGUACUAGGUGUAGGAGGUAUCGACCCCUUC
Molecule: ribosomal RNA, 820 nt
Filed under: uncultured Clostridium sp.
Lineage: Bacteria; Bacillati; Bacillota; Clostridia; Eubacteriales; Clostridiaceae
Description: bacterial SSU rRNA
Rfam family: Bacterial small subunit ribosomal RNA
Source: RNAcentral